UACGAAGGGGGCUAGCGUUGCUCGGAAUUACUGGGCGUAAAGGGCGCGUAGGCGGCACUGUUAGUCAGGCGUGAAAUUCCUGGGCUCAACCUGGGGACUGCGCUUGAUACGGCAGAGCUUGAGGAUGGAAGAGGGUCGCGGAAUUCCCAGUGUAGAGGUGAAAUUCGUAGAUAUUGGGAAGAACACCGGUGGCGAAGGCGGUGACCUGGUCCAUUACUGACGCUGAGGCGCGACAGCGUGGGGAGCAAACAGG
RNAcentral lists this ribosomal RNA (253 nucleotides) under uncultured bacterium. RNAcentral describes it as "partial 16S ribosomal RNA". It matches the Rfam family "Bacterial small subunit ribosomal RNA", at positions 524 to 776 of the family's 1533-position model. The record is from RNAcentral.